UACGUAGGGUGCAAGCGUUAAUCGGAAUUACUGGGCGUAAAGCGUGCGCAGGCGGCUUUGCAAGCCAGAUGUGAAAUCCCCGGGCUUAACCUGGGAACUGCAUUUGUGACUGCAUGGCUGGAGUGCGGCAGAGGGGGAUGGAAUUCCGUGUGUAGCAGUGAAAUGCGUAGAUAUCGCUUGGAACGCCAAUGGUGAAAACAGCUCGCUGGGGGUGUGCUGACGCUGAGACACGAAAGCCAGGGGAGCGAACGGG
This 253-nucleotide ribosomal RNA is filed under the name uncultured bacterium. RNAcentral describes it as "partial 16S ribosomal RNA". It matches the Rfam family "Bacterial small subunit ribosomal RNA", at positions 524 to 776 of the family's 1533-position model. The record is from RNAcentral.